GACGAACGCUGGCGGCGUGCCUAAUACAUGCAAGUAGAACGCUGAAGGAGGAGCUUGCUUCUCUGGAUGAGUUGCGAACGGGUGAGUAAUGCGUAGGUAACCUGCCUGGUAGCGGGGGAUAACUAUUGGAAACGAUAGCUAAUACCGCAUAAUAGUAGAUGUUGCAUGACAUUUGCUUAAAAGGUGCAAUUGCAUCACUACCAGAUGGACCUGCGUUGUAUUAGCUAGUUGGUGGGGUAACGGCUCACCAAGGCGACGAUACAUAGCCGACCUGAGAGGGUGAUCGGCCACACUGGGACUGAGACACGGCCCAGACUCCUACGGGAGGCAGCAGUAGGGAAUCUUCGGCAAUGGACGGAAGUCUGACCGAGCAACGCCGCGUGAGUGAAGAAGGUUUUCGGAUCGUAAAGCUCUGUUGUAAGAGAAGAACGAGUGUGAGAGUGGAAAGUUCACACUGUGACGGUAUCUUACCAGAAAGGGACGGCUAACUACGUG
Molecule: ribosomal RNA, 495 nt
Filed under: uncultured bacterium
Lineage: Bacteria
Description: partial 16S ribosomal RNA
Rfam family: Bacterial small subunit ribosomal RNA
Source: RNAcentral